This 468-nucleotide ribosomal RNA is filed under the name uncultured bacterium. RNAcentral's name for it is "partial 16S ribosomal RNA". It matches the Rfam family "Bacterial small subunit ribosomal RNA", at positions 28 to 507 of the family's 1533-position model. The record is from RNAcentral.
GACGAACGCUGGCGGCGUGCUUAACACAUGCAAGUCGAACGGAAAGGCCCUGCUUUUGUGGGGUGCUCGAGUGGCGAACGGGUGAGUAACACGUGAGUAACCUGCCCUUGACUUUGGGAUAACUUCAGGAAACUGGGGCUAAUACCGGAUAGGAGCUCCUGCUGCAUGGGGGGGGUUGGAAAGUUUCGGCGGAUGGGGGUGGACUCGCGGCUAAUCAGCUGGUGGGGGGGGGAGUGGCUUACCAAGGCUUUGGCGGGUGGCCGGCCUGGGAGGGUGACCAGCCACAUUGGGACUGAGAUACGGCCCAGACUCCUACGGGAGGCAGCAGUGGGGAAUAUUGCACAAUGGGCGGAAGUCUGAUGCAGCAACGCCGCGUGCGGGAUGACGGCCUUCGGGUUGUAAACCGCUUUCGCCUGUGACGAAGCGUGAGUGACGGUAAUGGGUAAAGAAGCACCGGCUAACUACGUG